GCGGUGAAAUGCGUAGAUAUCGGGAGGAACACCAGUGGCGAAGGCGGCUUCCUGGACCAGUACUGACGCUAAGGCGCGAAAGCUAGGGGAGCAAACAGGAUUAGAUACCCUGGUAGUCCUAGCCUUAAACGAUGUGCACUUGGUGUCGGGGGUAUCGACCCCUCCAGUGCCGAAGCUAACGCAUUAAGUGCACCGCCUGGGGAGUACGGUCGCAAGGCUGAAACUCAAAUGAAUUGACGG
This 240-nucleotide ribosomal RNA is filed under the name uncultured bacterium. RNAcentral's name for it is "partial 16S ribosomal RNA". It matches the Rfam family "Bacterial small subunit ribosomal RNA", at positions 678 to 916 of the family's 1533-position model. The record is from RNAcentral.